RNAcentral lists this ribosomal RNA (419 nucleotides) under uncultured bacterium. RNAcentral describes it as "bacterial SSU rRNA". It matches the Rfam family "Bacterial small subunit ribosomal RNA", at positions 78 to 518 of the family's 1533-position model. The record is from RNAcentral.
CGGACGGAAAGGGAGAGCAGCAGCGGACGGGUGGAGUAAAGCACAAGGACUUGUCCCGAAGACGGGGGACAACUGUGGGAAACCACAGCUAAUACCCCAUAAGCCGAGAAGGUGAAAGCAGCGAUGCGCUUUAGGAGAGACUUGUGUCCUAUCAGGGUAGUUGGUGAGGUAACGGCUCACCAAGCCGAAGACGGGUAGCCGGACUGAGAGGUUGUACGGCCACAUUGGAGCUGAGAGACGGUCCAGACUCCUACGGGAGGCAGCAGUGGGGAAUAUUGGGCAAUGGGGGCGAACCCCUUGACCCAGCGACGCCGCGUGAGGGAAGACAGCCUUCGGGUUGUAAACCUCUGUUGCAGGGGAAGAAGAAAGUGACCGGUACCCUGCGAGGAAGCUCCGGCAAACUACGUGCCAGCCGCCGC